GUGUUGCUCUCUCCUGAGCGCGAAGGGGCGGGCGGGCGGUGCUGCUUGGGCAGGAGCCGCUCGCCAUUGAUGACCGUUCCCGGUCCUUCUGGUCCGGGAGGGAGAGAGCACAGGCUGA
This 118-nucleotide small nucleolar RNA is filed under the name Accipiter nisus (Eurasian sparrowhawk). Its description in RNAcentral is "Small nucleolar RNA U3 (ENSANIG00000007418.1)". It matches the Rfam family "Small nucleolar RNA U3", at positions 92 to 214 of the family's 219-position model. Rfam says of the family: Small nucleolar RNAs (snoRNAs) are involved in the processing and modification of rRNA in the nucleolus. There are two main classes of snoRNAs: the box C/D class, and the box H/ACA class. The record is from Rfam by way of RNAcentral. Lineage: Eukaryota; Metazoa; Chordata; Aves; Accipitriformes; Accipitridae.